UUCCGGUUGAUCUGCCGGACCCGACUGCUAUCAGAGUGGGACUAAACCAUGCGAGUCACGCAGCAUGCGUGGCAUACGGCUCAAGUAACACGUAGUCAACAUGCCCAGCGGACGUGGAUAACCUCGGGAAACUGAGGAUAAACCGCGAUAGGCCAAGGUUUCUGGAAUGGACACCGGCUGAAACCUACAUGGCCCCUGGAUUGGACUGCAGACGAUCAGGCUGUAGGUGAGGUAAUGGACCACCAAACCUGUAACCGGUACGGGCUUUGAGAGAAGGAGCCCGGAGAUGGGCACUGAGACAAGGGCCCAGGCCCUAUGGGGCGCAGCAAGCGCGAAACCUCUGCAAUA
Molecule: ribosomal RNA, 348 nt
Filed under: uncultured archaeon
Lineage: Archaea
Description: bacterial SSU rRNA
Rfam family: Archaeal small subunit ribosomal RNA
Source: RNAcentral